CCUGGUCUUGACAUCCACAGAACAUUCCAGAGAUGGAUUGGUGCCUUCGGGAACUGUGAGACAGGUGCUGCAUGGCUGUCGUCAGCUCGUGUUGUGAAAUGUUGGGUUAAGUCCCGCAACGAGCGCAACCCUUAUCCUUUGUUGCCAGCGGUCCGGCCGGGAACUCAAAGGAGACUGCCAGUGAUAAACUGGAGGAAGGUGGGGAUGACGUCAAGUCAUCAUGGCCCUUACGACCAGGGCUACACACGUGCUACAAUGGCGCAUACAAAGAGAAGCGACCUCGCGAGAGCAAGCGGACCUCAUAAAGUGCGUCGUAGUCCGGAUUGGAGUCUGCAACUCGACUCCAUGAAGUCGGAAUCGCUAGUAAUCGUGGAUCAGAAUGCCACGGUGAAUACGUUCCCGGGCCUUGUACACACCGCCCGUCACACCAUGGGAGUGGGUUGCAAAAGAAGUAGGUAGCUUAACCUUCGGGAGGGCGCUUACCACUUUGUGAUUCAUGACUGGGGUGAAGUCGUAACAAGGUAACCGUAGGGGAACCUGC
Molecule: ribosomal RNA, 541 nt
Filed under: Salmonella enterica
Lineage: Bacteria; Pseudomonadati; Pseudomonadota; Gammaproteobacteria; Enterobacterales; Enterobacteriaceae
Description: bacterial SSU rRNA
Rfam family: Bacterial small subunit ribosomal RNA
Source: RNAcentral